CCUACGGGAGGCAGCAGUAAGGAAUCUUCCGCAAUGGGCGAAAGCCUGACGGAGCGACGCCGCGUGUGGGAUGAAGUCUCUCGGGAUGUAAACCACUGUCGGAGGGGAAGAGAACGGACGGUACCCUCCAAGAAAGCCCCGGCUAACUACGUGCCAGCAGCCGCGGUAAU
RNAcentral lists this ribosomal RNA (170 nucleotides) under uncultured bacterium. RNAcentral describes it as "partial 16S ribosomal RNA". It matches the Rfam family "Bacterial small subunit ribosomal RNA", at positions 338 to 524 of the family's 1533-position model. The record is from RNAcentral.